This 222-nucleotide ribosomal RNA is filed under the name uncultured bacterium. Its description in RNAcentral is "partial 16S ribosomal RNA". It matches the Rfam family "Bacterial small subunit ribosomal RNA", at positions 524 to 745 of the family's 1533-position model. The record is from RNAcentral.
UACGUAGGGGGCAAGCGUUGUCCGGAUUUAUUGGGCGUAAAGAGCGUGUAGGCGGCUUUACAGGUCCGUUGUGAAAACUCGAGGCUCAACCUCGAGACGCCGGUGGAAACCGUAAAGCUAGAGUCCGGAAGAGGAGAGUGGAAUUCCUGGUGUAGCGGUGAAAUGCGCAGAUAUCAGGAAGAACACCCGUGGCUAAGGCGGCUCUCUAGUACGGUACUGACG